CUGAGCAUCACACAUCUUCCGAUUCAUUAGCUUCAUUUUCUUGCUUGGGUUAAGCUCUGCAAUUAUUCCGUAGCUUGGCAUGGCAGCUAAGAAAACAUACAGUUAAACCUUGAUAGGUUUUGACCUCCAAGUUGAGUCGUAUCAUGACUGCUGGGGGAUAGUCUUCUCCAGUUCGAAGUGUAUGGACUGCAAGAUUUUGAAGGAAGUGAAGAUAGACAGGCUUUAUUCCAUGGCGGCCAUUCCCAACAUGGCAUACAUUCUGCGGCCUGCAAAUGCUGCCAUCACCGGAGCCAUUGGAUUCUCGAGUUAUGCAAGAGAAAAGGCCAAGAGCUCUUCUUUGGGUAAAGACCCGUCCAAUCAAAUAGUUGAGCUUCCCUCAGGGAAACCAUGUAAGAGCUGCAACUUCCUCUUCCUUCUUUUUCUGUAGCACCAGUUGGGGGCCCUGCAUUACCGGGCAAUUCCAAAUAUACCUGUAGGUCUCUGUUAGCGGACAUCAUCCAACUGCAAGAUGUGAAGGAGCUUUGCUCAGUCCUAGUGGUAUGGUUGGAAGAAGCUGCAAAGACUCUUGCAGAACAAAAGGAUGCAAAAGAGAAACUGGCCAAAGAACAAACGGAGACUUCCCUCUCAAUGUCAACGAAACAAGGGACUCAAAAUCAAGUUGAUGGUGACAAAACUGUGGCCAAAGACCGUUCCAGCGCAAGUCAGGCGCCUGAUAAGAGCGUCCAAGACGAAUCUGACACAGAAGUUUCUGCGGAUAUGCCCCAACUGAGAGGCCAAUGUCCCCUGGGACUCUUGGCUUUGAUGUGUGAUGAACAGGACACGAUGUUCUUGGCGGCUGCUUCCUCGAAAGGAUUAAUGGGCGCUGGCGGUAAUUUCAAAUCCACAGUUGCCUCCUGGUAAUCACGACGGAGAUUUAUAGAGAACAGGAAAGGCUGGUAUUUAAG
Non-coding RNA from Punica granatum (pomegranate), 944 nucleotides. The record is from RefSeq and is a predicted model, not a curated record. NCBI's taxonomy places the organism in Eukaryota, Viridiplantae, Streptophyta, Magnoliopsida, Myrtales, Lythraceae.